This is a small nucleolar RNA of Callithrix jacchus (white-tufted-ear marmoset), 212 nucleotides long. Its record names the gene U3. It matches the Rfam family "Small nucleolar RNA U3". From Rfam's summary of the family: Small nucleolar RNAs (snoRNAs) are involved in the processing and modification of rRNA in the nucleolus. There are two main classes of snoRNAs: the box C/D class, and the box H/ACA class. U3 snoRNA is a member of the box C/D class. NCBI's taxonomy places the organism in Eukaryota, Metazoa, Chordata, Mammalia, Primates, Cebidae. The record is from Ensembl.
AAGACCAUACUUUCAGGGAUCGUUUAUAUGGUUUACAGCUAGAGAAGUUUCUCAGCGUGAGGAGCCACAGAAAGCACGAGGAGAAGGUGCAGCGUUCUCUGUGGCACGUGAAGCCAGCUCUUGGUGUUACUUCGCUACAACUACAUUUGCCACUGAUGAUCGUUCUUCUCUGGUCUCAGAGUAGAAGGGAGAGAAGAUGCAGUCUGAGUGAU